CAAGCCCUGGAAACGGGGUCUAAUACCGGAUAUGAUCACUGGUCGCAUGGCCUGGUGGUGGAAAGCGUUAGUGGUGCAGGAUGAGCCCGCGGCCCAUCAGCUUGUUGGUGGGGUGAUGGCCUACCAAGGCGACGACGGGUAGCCGGCCUGAGAGGGCGACCGGCCACACUGGGACUGAGACACGGCCCAGACUCCUACGGGAGGCAGCAGUGGGGAAUAUUGCACAAUGGGCGGAAGCCUGAUGCAGCGACGCCGCGUGAGGGAUGACGGCCUUCGGGUUGUAAACCUCUUUCAGCAGGGAAGAAGCUUUCGGGUGACGGUACCUGUAGAAGAAGCACCGGCUAACUACGUGCCAGCAGCCGCGGUAAUACGUAGGGUGCGAGCGUUGUCCGGAAUUAUUGGGCGUAAAGAGCUCGUAGGCGGCGUGUCACGUCGGAUGUGAAAGCCCGGGGCUUAACCCCGGGUCUGCAUUCGAUACGGGCAGGCUAGAGUUCGGUAGGGGAGAUCGGAAUUCCUGGUGC
This 521-nucleotide ribosomal RNA is filed under the name uncultured Streptomyces sp. Its description in RNAcentral is "bacterial SSU rRNA". It matches the Rfam family "Bacterial small subunit ribosomal RNA", at positions 144 to 676 of the family's 1533-position model. The record is from RNAcentral. Lineage: Bacteria; Bacillati; Actinomycetota; Actinomycetes; Kitasatosporales; Streptomycetaceae.